AGCGUACACGGUGGAUGCCCUGGCAGUCAGAGGCGAUGAAGGACGUGCUAAUCUGCGAUAAGCGUCGGUAAGGUGAUAUGAACCGUUAUAACCGGCGAUUUCCGAAUGGGGAAACCCAGUGUGAUUCGUCACACUAUCAUUAACUGAAUCCAUAGGUUAAUGAGGCGAACCGGGGGAACUGAAACAUCUAAGUACCCCGAGGAAAAGAAAUCAACCGAGAUUCCCCCAGUAGCGGCGAGCGAACGGGGAGCAGCCCAGAGCCUGAAUCAGUGUGUGUGUUAGUGGAAGCGUCUGGAAAGGCGUGCGAUACAGGGUGACAGCCCCGUACACAAAAAUGCACAUAUUGUGAGCUCGAUGAGUAGGGCGGGACACGUGGUAUCCUGUCUGAAUAUGGGGGGACCAUCCUCCAAGGCUAAAUACUCCUGACUGACCGAUAGUGAACCAGUACCGUGAGGGAAAGGCGAAAAGAACCCCGGCGAGGGGAGUGAAAAAGAACCUGAAACCGUGUACGUACAAGCAGUGGGAGCACGCUUAGGCGUGUGACUGCGUACCUUUUGUAUAAUGGGUCAGCGACUUAUAUUCUGUAGCAAGGUUAACCGAAUAGGGGAGCCGAAGGGAAACCGAGUCUUAACUGGGCGUUAAGUUGCAGGGUAUAGACCCGAAACCCGGUGAUCUAGCCAUGGGCAGGUUGAAGGUUGGGUAACACUAACUGGAGGACCGAACCGACUAAUGUUGAAAAAUUAGCGGAUGACUUGUGGCUGGGGGUGAAAGGCCAAUCAAACCGGGAGAUAGCUGGUUCUCCCCGAAAGCUAUUUAGGUAGCGCCUCGUGAAUUCAUCUCCGGGGGUAGAGCACUGUUUCGGCAAGGGGGUCAUCCCGACUUACCAACCCGAUGCAAACUGCGAAUACCGGAGAAUGUUAUCACGGGAGACACACGGCGGGUGCUAACGUCCGUCGUGAAGAGGGAAACAACCCAGACCGCCAGCUAAGGUCCCAAAGUCAUGGUUAAGUGGGAAACGAUGUGGGAAGGCCCAGACAGCCAGGAUGUUGGCUUAGAAGCAGCCAUCAUUUAAAGAAAGCGUAAUAGCUCACUGGUCGAGUCGGCCUGCGCGGAAGAUGUAACGGGGCUAAACCAUGCACCGAAGCUGCGGCAGCGACGCUGAUGCGUUGUUGGGUAGGGGAGCGUUCUGUAAGCCUGUGAAGGUGUGCUGUGAGGUAUGCUGGAGGUAUCAGAAGUGCGAAUGCUGACAUAAGUAACGAUAAAGCGGGUGAAAAGCCCGCUCGCCGGAAGACCAAGGGUUCCUGUCCAACGUUAAUCGGGGCAGGGUGAGUCGACCCCUAAGGCGAGGCCGAAAGGCGUAGUCGAUGGGAAACAGGUUAAUAUUCCUGUACUUGGUGUUACUGCGAAGGGGGGACGGAGAAGGCUAUGUUGGCCGGGCGACGGUUGUCCCGGUUUAAGCGUGUAGGCUGGUUUUCCAGGCAAAUCCGGAAAACUAAGGCUGAGGCGUGAUGACGAGGCACUACGGUGCUGAAGCAACAAAUGCCCUGCUUCCAGGAAAAGCCUCUAAGCAUCAGGUAACAUCAAAUCGUACCCCAAACCGACACAGGUGGUCAGGUAGAGAAUACCAAGGCGCUUGAGAGAACUCGGGUGAAGGAACUAGGCAAAAUGGUGCCGUAACUUCGGGAGAAGGCACGCUGAUAUGUAGGUGAAGUCCCUCGCGGAUGGAGCUGAAAUCAGUCGAAGAUACCAGCUGGCUGCAACUGUUUAUUAAAAACACAGCACUGUGCAAACACGAAAGUGGACGUAUACGGUGUGACGCCUGCCCGGUGCCGGAAGGUUAAUUGAUGGGGUCAGCGCAAGCGAAGCUCUUGAUCGAAGCCCCGGUAAACGGCGGCCGUAACUAUAACGGUCCUAAGGUAGCGAAAUUCCUUGUCGGGUAAGUUCCGACCUGCACGAAUGGCGUAAUGAUGGCCAGGCUGUCUCCACCCGAGACUCAGUGAAAUUGAACUCGCUGUGAAGAUGCAGUGUACCCGCGGCAAGACGGAAAGACCCCGUGAACCUUUACUAUAGCUUGACACUGAACAUUGAGCCUUGAUGUGUAGGAUAGGUGGGAGGCUUUGAAGUGUGGACGCCAGUCUGCAUGGAGCCGACCUUGAAAUACCACCCUUUAAUGUUUGAUGUUCUAACGUUGACCCGUAAUCCGGGUUGCGGACAGUGUCUGGUGGGUAGUUUGACUGGGGCGGUCUCCUCCUAAAGAGUAACGGAGGAGCACGAAGGUUGGCUAAUCCUGGUCGGACAUCAGGAGGUUAGUGCAAUGGCAUAAGCCAGCUUGACUGCGAGCGUGACGGCGCGAGCAGGUGCGAAAGCAGGUCAUAGUGAUCCGGUGGUUCUGAAUGGAAGGGCCAUCGCUCAACGGAUAAAAGGUACUCCGGGGAUAACAGGCUGAUACCGCCCAAGAGUUCAUAUCGACGGCGGUGUUUGGCACCUCGAUGUCGGCUCAUCACAUCCUGGGGCUGAAGUAGGUCCCAAGGGUAUGGCUGUUCGCCAUUUAAAGUGGUACGCGAGCUGGGUUUAGAACGUCGUGAGACAGUUCGGUCCCUAUCUGCCGUGGGCGCUGGAGAACUGAGGGGGGCUGCUCCUAGUACGAGAGGACCGGAGUGGACGCAUCACUGGUGUUCGGGUUGUCAUGCCAAUGGCACUGCCCGGUAGCUAAAUGCGGAAGAGAUAAGUGCUGAAAGCAUCUAAGCACGAAACUUGCCCCGAGAUGAGUUCUCCCUGACUCCUUGA
Molecule: ribosomal RNA, 2787 nt
Filed under: Shigella boydii
Lineage: Bacteria; Pseudomonadati; Pseudomonadota; Gammaproteobacteria; Enterobacterales; Enterobacteriaceae
Description: bacterial LSU rRNA
Rfam family: Bacterial large subunit ribosomal RNA
Source: RNAcentral